UACGUAGGGUGCAAGCGUUGUCCGGAAUUAUUGGGCGUAAAGAGCUCGUAGGCGGUUUGUUGCGUCGGCUGUGAAAUCCCGAGGCUCAACCUCGGGUCUGCAGUCGAUACGGGCGGACUUGAGUUCGGCAGGGGAGACUGGAAUUCCUGGUGUAGCGGUGAAAUGCGCAGAUAUCAGGAGGAACACCGGUGGCGAAGGCGGGUCUCUGGGCCGAUACUGACGCUGAGGAGCGAAAGCGUGGGGAGCGAACAGG
Molecule: ribosomal RNA, 253 nt
Filed under: uncultured bacterium
Lineage: Bacteria
Description: partial 16S ribosomal RNA
Rfam family: Bacterial small subunit ribosomal RNA
Source: RNAcentral